GAUAACUGGCUUGUGGCAGCCAAGCGUUCAUAGCGGCGUUGCUUUUUGAUCCUUCGAUUUCGGCUCUUCCUAUCAUUGUGAAGCAGAAUUCACCAAGUGUUGGAUUGUUCACCCACCAAUAGGGAACGUGAACUGGGUUUAGACUGUCGUGAGACAGGUU
Molecule: non-coding RNA, 160 nt
Filed under: Gossypium hirsutum (cotton)
Lineage: Eukaryota; Viridiplantae; Streptophyta; Magnoliopsida; Malvales; Malvaceae
Description: Eukaryotic large subunit ribosomal RNA
Rfam family: Eukaryotic large subunit ribosomal RNA
Source: Rfam by way of RNAcentral